Molecule: transfer RNA, 82 nt
Filed under: Cardiosporidium cionae
Lineage: Eukaryota; Apicomplexa; Aconoidasida; Nephromycida
Description: tRNA-Ser
Rfam family: tRNA
About the family: Transfer RNA (tRNA) molecules are approximately 80 nucleotides in length.
Source: RNAcentral
GACAGUUUGUCCGAGUGGUUAAGGAGGUGGACUCGAAAUCCACUGGGCUAUGCCCGCGCAGGUUCGAAUCCUGCAGCUGUCG